AAUAGGCAUUCGGCCAUUUUCUCAAAAUACCAAACACAAAGCAGCUCUUUGCAAACUCGGGCGCUCUCGCUUCCUCUCGCCUCGGCCCGCUCACUGCACAUAUUUACACACCAACUCGCGGGAGUCGCCCUGACACUCGUCCCGAGCCUUUUCCUGCGCUCUCCAACACUAAAACGGGGGAAGGGAGCAAGCUCGGGACGCUGUUUGGCCGGACCGAGUCCUCCUGGAGUCCAGGCAGCCCCCUCCCCAGCCCUAGGGCCCCCGUCCCGAGAAAGAACGGAAAGUUACCGCGCAGCCGGCGUCCGGGCUUCUCCGACCUCCCCCGGGCCCCUCCGACCGCCCCGGGACUCGCCCAACGCCCAGGGCCGGGGAGGCUCCGCGGGCGCCCUCGCGAGGCGUCGGGCUCCGAGCACCGGAGAGGGCCCCCACGCGGGCCAGCCGCCGCCCCCGCGCCCCGGAAGUUUGCGAACUUCACUCCCCCACGGCGCCCGGCAGGACGCGCGCCCCAGCCCCGCCAGCUCCAGCGGUCGGGUAGCCGGACGCGGGGGCCAGCGGCGCCGGGCGGCCGAAGCGCAGAAAUCGCUGUCCAGCCCCGCUGGCGGAACCGCCCGGGCUCCGGGGCUGACUCAACCCGCCCGGCCGCACUCAACGGCGCCUUCCGGCGACAGGGAGAAGCCCUGGGGGAGGGGACCAGGAGGGCCGCGGGCCGGCGCGGGGCUGCGGUGGGACCCGGGGGCAGGAGGAGGAAGCAGACGAAGUUUCAGGACUAGGGGCCCGAGCAGCUCCGCUCCUUGGUCUCAGAGGACCCGACUCGGAGGAGCGUCCGGUCAGCGCGGAGGCGGCGUCUCGGCCUCCAGUGGGGAGGGGGUCCAGGCGACGCGCCGCUCCCAACAAACGCCCCCAGCCCCCGGGCGGCGGCUGUGUAACCCGAUCCUGCUCGGCCGCCAGCCCCCGCCCGGCGCGGCCGCCGCCGCCGGAGCCACAGUAUCUGCAAAUCAGCCCUGGACAGCGCCUGGCUCCUAG
RNAcentral lists this long non-coding RNA (1023 nucleotides) under Papio anubis (olive baboon). RNAcentral describes it as "lncRNA (ENSPANG00000050471.1)". Lineage: Eukaryota; Metazoa; Chordata; Mammalia; Primates; Cercopithecidae. The record is from RNAcentral.